This 490-nucleotide ribosomal RNA is filed under the name uncultured bacterium. RNAcentral's name for it is "partial 16S ribosomal RNA". It matches the Rfam family "Bacterial small subunit ribosomal RNA", at positions 28 to 507 of the family's 1533-position model. The record is from RNAcentral.
GAUGAACGCUAGCUACAGGCUUAACACAUGCAAGUCGCGGGGCAGCAUGGGGGUUGCUUGCAAUCCCCGAUGGCGACCGGCGCACGGGUGAGUAACGCGUAUCCAACCUGCCCUUCACCACGGGAUAACCCGGCGAAAGUCGGACUAAUACCGUAUGUUGUCCAUUGACGGCAUCCGAUUUGGACGAAAGGCUUGGCGGUGAGGGAUGGGGAUGCGUCCGAUUAGCCAGACGGCGGGGUAACGGCCCACCGUGGCUACGAUCGGUAGGGGUUCUGAGAGGAAGGUCCCCCACACUGGAACCGAGACACGGUCCAGACUCCUACGGGAGGCAGCAGUGAGGAAUAUUGGUCAAUGGGCGUAAGCCUGAACCAGCCAAGUAGCGUGCAGGAUGACGGCCCUAUGGGUUGUAAACUGCUUUUAUGCGGGGAUAAAGUGGCCCACGUGUGGGCUUUUGCAGGUACCGCAUGAAUAAGGACCGGCUAAUUCCGUG